RNAcentral lists this non-coding RNA (29 nucleotides) under Homo sapiens (human). The record is from RNAcentral. Lineage: Eukaryota; Metazoa; Chordata; Mammalia; Primates; Hominidae.
UGACCACAGAGUGCCCUCCUAUAGUGAUC